UUUGAAGAGAAAUUUCUGGAAUCUGCAAAAGAUUUGGAAAAGUUAAGAAAUGAUGGGAGUUUGUUCUUCCAGCAAGUGCCAAUGGUUGAGAUUGACGGGAUGAAGCUGAUGCAGACCAGAGCCAUUCUCAACUACAUUGCCAGCAAAUACAACCUGUGUGGGAAAGACAUAAAGGAGAGAGCCGUCGAAAUGUAUACAGAAGGUAGGGCAGGUUUGAGUGAAAAGCUUCUUCAUUGCUCAUUGCAUCCACCUGAGGAAAAAGAUGCAAAGCUUGCCCUGAUCAGAGGGAACAACAAGCCAUUAUUUUCCUGUCUUUGAAACUGUGUUGAAGAGCCAUGGACAAGACUACCUCGUUGGCCACAAGCUGAGCCGGGCUGACAUUCACCUGGUCAAACUUCUCUACCACGUGGAAGAGCUUGACACCAGCCUCAUCUCCAACUUCCCUCUGCUGAAGGCCCUGAAAAUCAGAAUCAGCAAACUCCCCACAGUGAAGAAGUUUUUGCAGCCUGGCAGCCUGAGGGAGCUUCCCAUAAAUGCGAAAGGUUUAGAAGAAGCAACAAAGAUUUUCAAGGUUUGA
This 577-nucleotide long non-coding RNA is filed under the name Homo sapiens (human). RNAcentral's name for it is "non-protein coding lnc-GSTA1-1:1". The record is from RNAcentral. Lineage: Eukaryota; Metazoa; Chordata; Mammalia; Primates; Hominidae.